CUACGUGCCAGCAGCCGCGGUAAUACGUAGGGUGCGAGCGUUAAUCGGAAUUACUGGGCGUAAAGCGAGCGCAGACGGUUACUUAAGCAGGAUGUGAAAUCCCCGGGCUCAACCUGGGAACUGCGUUCUGAACUGGGUGACUAGAGUGUGUCAGAGGGAGGUAGAAUUCCACGUGUAGCAGUGAAAUGCGUAGAGAUGUGGAGGAAUACCGAUGGCGAAGGCAGCCUCCUGGGAUAACACUGACGUUCAUGCUCGAAAGCGUGGGUAGCAAACAGGAUUAGAUACCCUGGUAGUCCACGCCCUAAACGAUGUCAAUUAGCUGUUGGGCAACUUGAUUGCUUAGUAGCGUAGCUAACGCGUGAAAUUGACCGCCUGGGGAGUACGGUCGCAAGAUUAAAACUCAAAGGAAUCGACGGGGACCCGCACAAGCGGUGGAUGAUGUGGAUUAAUUCGAUGCAACGCGAAGAACCUUACCUGGUCUUGACAU
This 487-nucleotide ribosomal RNA is filed under the name uncultured bacterium. RNAcentral's name for it is "bacterial SSU rRNA". It matches the Rfam family "Bacterial small subunit ribosomal RNA", at positions 501 to 987 of the family's 1533-position model. The record is from RNAcentral.